This 948-nucleotide unclassified non-coding RNA is filed under the name Hevea brasiliensis (rubber tree). The record is from RNAcentral. Lineage: Eukaryota; Viridiplantae; Streptophyta; Magnoliopsida; Malpighiales; Euphorbiaceae.
AACCCCCUGCCACUAGGCCAUAACUUUAUUGUUCAGAUGUCACUUGGGUUUGGCAGCAAGGAUGGGAACCUACCAUUGAAUUCAAAACAGACAUGGUGAUGAAUGAUAUAUUUGGAAUGUUUCUGAUCUUGUAAUUUUCCUCCCCAUCAGGUUUCAACCUUUCAGCAUGUUCAUCAAGCAAAGGCAGCAGAUCCAACUGCUUCAAGGUAGUGAUGAACUGCAAACCUUGAGGGAGCAUCCUUAGACGCAAGCAGUUGUGGAAGUGGAGGUACUGUAAGCUUGGCAAUGCUCCCUCUUCAAGUUCUGUCCAUGCCUCAAGAACAUGAGAAGCAAUGCUGAGAACCUCAAGCUUUGGAAAUCCACCUGCUUUGCAGAAUUCUUUCCCCAACUGCUGUGCAUCAAAAGCAUGCCACAAGGUUAAAUUUUCCAAAUUGGGUAGAAGCUGAAGAACUGAUGUUGGGUUCUCGGAUAAAUGAGAGAAACCUAGUCUUAGCUUUGUAAGAUUUUCCAGUGAGCCAAGCCAGCUAGGUAUCUUAUCUAGGAAACCUUCAAGGCGAAGUUUCCUAAGAAGAGGUGGAGGCAAGAAUGACUCCGAGAGCACAAGGUGGUUCUUGUUGUAAGCAUGUUUUGCUUCUAAAGACAGGCAGAGAAGACCUUGCAUCUUCAUUAUGGAGGUGUGUAGCUCACCAGCAUUCUCUUCAGCAACGUCCAUCACUCCCAGUUUUCUGAGCUGAGUGAGCUUGUCUAAUUCCCCUGCUAUGCCACCCCCAGCAUGCACACCGGUUAGUGUCAAGAGGUUUCUUAAUCUACCUAUUCCCUCUGGUAGCUUCAUCCCACUAACAUUUAUGUUCUUGAACAUUUUGAGAUGCCUUAAUUUUACGAGACUUAAGACGUUCGGUGAUAGUGUUGAUAAAUUCCCACACCAUCUGAUAUCUAAAGUCUGCAGUG